UGGGGAAUAUUGGACAAUGGGCGAAAGCCUGAUCCAGCCAUGCCGCGUGUGUGAAGAAGGUCUUCGGAUUGUAAAGCACUUUAAGUUGGGAGGAAGGGCAGUAAGCGAAUACCUUGCUGUUUUGACGUUACCGACAGAAUAAGCACCGGCUAACUCUGUGCCAGCAGCCGCGGUAAUACAGAGGGUGCAAGCGUUAAUCGGAAUUACUGGGCGUAAAGCGCGCGUAGGUGGUUCGUUAAGUUGAAUGUGAAAGCCCCGGGCUCAACCUGGGAACUGCAUCCAAAACUGGCGAGCUAGAGUAGGGCAGAGGGUGGUGGAAUUUCCUGUGUAGCGAUGAAAUGCGUAGAUAUAGGUAGGAACACCAGUGGCGAAGGCGACCACCUGGGCUCAUACUGACACUGAGGUGCGAAAGCGUGGGGAGCAAACAGG
This 429-nucleotide ribosomal RNA is filed under the name Pseudomonadota bacterium. RNAcentral describes it as "Proteobacteria bacterium partial 16S ribosomal RNA". It matches the Rfam family "Bacterial small subunit ribosomal RNA", at positions 355 to 776 of the family's 1533-position model. Lineage: Bacteria; Pseudomonadati; Pseudomonadota. The record is from RNAcentral.